CACGUAGGUCGCAAGCGUUGUCCGGAAUUAUUGGGCGUAAAGAGCUCGUAGGCGGUCUGUUGCGUCCGCUGUGAAAACUCGGGGCUUAACCCCGAGCCUGCAGUGGAUACGGGCAGACUAGAGGUAGGUAGGGGAGAAUGGAAUUCCCGGUGUAGCGGUGAAAUGCGCAGAUAUCGGGAGGAACACCGGUGGCGAAGGCGGUUCUCUGGGCCUUACCUGACGCUGAGGAGCGAAAGCGUGGGGAGCGAACAGG
RNAcentral lists this ribosomal RNA (253 nucleotides) under uncultured bacterium. Its description in RNAcentral is "partial 16S ribosomal RNA". It matches the Rfam family "Bacterial small subunit ribosomal RNA", at positions 524 to 776 of the family's 1533-position model. The record is from RNAcentral.